GAUUAAUAAAAAUAAUUGUGAUUUUAAGUAUUUUAUAGUGACCUUUAAUUUGUAGGAAGAGAAACUGGGGGAGUGACUUUUUUUUGCAUCAGACAUGUGUCACUUUGCUCACAUCUGAUUGGUC
Long non-coding RNA from Sinocyclocheilus anshuiensis, 124 nucleotides. RefSeq lists it as uncharacterized. The transcript is spliced from 4 exons. The record is from RefSeq and is a predicted model, not a curated record. Lineage: Eukaryota; Metazoa; Chordata; Actinopteri; Cypriniformes; Cyprinidae.